This 253-nucleotide ribosomal RNA is filed under the name uncultured bacterium. RNAcentral describes it as "partial 16S ribosomal RNA". It matches the Rfam family "Bacterial small subunit ribosomal RNA", at positions 524 to 776 of the family's 1533-position model. The record is from RNAcentral.
UACGAGGGGGGCGAGCGUUGUUCGGAAUUAUUGGGCGUAAAGGGUGCGUAGGCGGCCUGACAAGUCUGAUGUGAAAUCCCUGGGCUCAACCCAGGGCCUGCAUCGGGAACUGUCGGGCUUGAGUAUGGGAGAGGUGAGUGGAAUUUCCGGUGUAGCGGUGAAAUGCGUAGAUAUCGGAAGGAACACCUGUGGCGAAAGCGGCUCACUGGACCAUUACUGACGCUGAGGCACGAAAGCUAGGGGAGCAAACAGG